GUGCUUGCUUCAGCAGCACAUGUACUAAGAUUGGAAUGAUACAGAGGUUAGCAUGGCCCUUAUACAAAAUUGAUAAGCAAAUUCAUGAAGUGUUCCAUAUUUUU
This is a small nuclear RNA of Ictidomys tridecemlineatus (thirteen-lined ground squirrel), 104 nucleotides long. Lineage: Eukaryota; Metazoa; Chordata; Mammalia; Rodentia; Sciuridae. The record is from Ensembl.